This is an RNA transcript of Monodelphis domestica (gray short-tailed opossum), 4943 nucleotides long. It is a transcript of the gene named brain derived neurotrophic factor, with no coding region annotated. The record is from RefSeq and is a predicted model, not a curated record. Lineage: Eukaryota; Metazoa; Chordata; Mammalia; Didelphimorphia; Didelphidae.
UAGAGUCAAAGCUUUCCUCCUUUUUUCUGGUCCUAAAAUUUGAUCUUGUCUGUUUUCCAUCCUCUGUUAUUGCUGCAUAAUAAAAGAAGUAAUUUGUAUAAACAUGGGAGUUUCUCAUUGUUUGCUUUAUGCAACAUAAAAUUUCCUAGGUUGAAGGUUACUUGGAUGUGACAUGGCCAGCUUCAAGCUAUUAUAGCUCAUAUAUCAUGUAGAAAUUACACCAGGAAGUUUUGGCAGAGGGUAUGCAUUAGAGUCUAUGUAUAACAUUCACUGAAACCAUAUUGUCUGAUCUUGCAAAUGUAAUAAUGGAAAAUUGUUCCUUGAAGCUUGCUUACCCCUGGACUAGCAACAGAAGAAAGUGAAAAGGAAAAGGAGACACUUGUUGAAAUGUAACCAUAACCUGGAGUGGAAUUUAAAACAUGUUAGUUAUCAUAACUGGAAUUCCAGCACCCUAAAGGCUUACUCCUUUUCUCCUUUUGUUUUAAAUGAAAAACAAAAAAAAAAAGAUAAAUACAGCAAUAAAAAUAGAUACCAGGUUAGUGCUGUCUGAUGAUUGAGAUUUUUAUAGAGAGCAUUUUAUCUUUCUAAGCACAUUAAGUAAAUCAGAAUUAUUUCCAGAUGAUUGCAUGUUUUGGGGACCACUAUACAGUGGCAUGCAUCCUCAGGCAUUGCAUUCUUUAAAAGCAAAAUGCAAGAGCUUUUUUUUUUCCUCAUUUAAAGAAAAGUUAAGACACUUAAAUUUUGUUUUUGUUCAGGUGAUUGUUACCAUUAUAAAAUCAAUAGCUAUUAGACAUCUGAACCUCUGACAGCUCAGGUAUUCAGGAAAUCUAUCCUAACAUGCCCUUUUCAAUCUAGUACACAUGGGUAGCUAAGUCGAAAACAAUUCAGAAAAUUGUCAUUAACUGAGAAUGGAGAUUGAAUAUUCAUUUGAGUUGUUUUUGCUACUGCAGGUUAAUUGUACAAACCUAAUAAUGACAAAGAAAAAGAGAGUUUUCAUUUUUAAAAUGUCUCACUGAAAGUCCGCAUUUCCGUGUUGUUUUGUUUUUUAAACUAAGGACAGCUAAUGUGCAUUUCUGAAAUCCUUCAACGAGUGAUUGGAUUUCCAGCUUAAUAGGGGGCGCCAGUAGGAUGCAGGCUAUUCUGUACUCCUCUUACUGGAAUACUUGAGCGUCUAAGCUCUUCAAUGACUAAAAUGAAGUGACUGAUAACACUUUUUUUCUUUCCAAAGCAAAGCAGUCCUCAUUUAUAGCUGCCCUCCCCCCACAUGGCAAGCUGAGCGGGUUCACCUAGAAGUAGAUGAAAGGGCAUAAUAAUAGUUUUGCUCCAUUCAUAGUAAGAAUUCUCAACAAAUGUAUUUCAUUCUGUGUGUGUGUGUGUAUGUGUGUGUGUGUGUGUGUGUGUAUGGUUGCUCUGUUCAAGAAUCUACAGUUGGGCAGGUAGUAAAACUAUGAAACUGAAUACAGCCUCCAACUUUAGACUUGUGAGAAUAUUUCUAUUUCUCCGUCAACAACAAGAUCCAUAGAAAUAAGGUUCAAAAGUAUCAUCAUGAUAACACUGAAAUUUUGGUGCUUAGGCUGUUAGGAGACCAAGAGAGGAAAUAUGAAAAAUUUCAGACUUCCUGUAUGUAAACAGUGAUAGUAGAGCUUGGCACAGUGGCCAAGCUUAGCAUUCCUUUUAAAAUGAAAGUCGCUCCCCUCUUUUAGUAAGACAGCUGUACUAUUGAUUUAUUUAAAUGGCUAAAAUGUAAUUUUCAGCUUAGAUCUCCCUGCAUGGAAGAUUUCAGUUUUCAUGAAGCAGCCCAGGCUCAAUUGUAAGCGGAUAUAUCCCUUUAAUAGGGUAAUUACUAACUUGUCUAGACUUGUUUUCAAACGAUUGUUAUGAGCACUCAGUUUCCACUAAUUGCAAAAUUGCUGCUUAAUUGAAAGACUCUCAAUCAUCUAGUGAAGCAAUUCAGACCCUGGAAGGCUCUGUGAUCUCAAACUGUGAAGUGCAUUUUAAACAGGAAGCAGGGAGAGAAUUCAAUGCAAUUCCAGCUUUUCAACUAGGGUGCUUCAUGGAAGACUUUCAGUUGAGGUGGAAACCAUGUGGAUGACAAAAAUAACAUCACCUUCCAUUGUAAUACAUUUUCUUUAUUAGGAUGAACCACAUAGAUGUGCUUCAAAAGUGAACGAACAAACGUAUUGGUUACACCACUCGUUCAGUCAUUCUGUUUUGUACAGAGUCAAAUUAAGCAACAUAUUAUGUUGAUAAAUUAAAUCCUUAUGUUCAACUCCAAUAGAUUCAGUAACAGAAAAGGAAAAUGAGUAUUUUUAAGUACAUAAGCAAUUGACUCCCCUUAGAUUUCUAUUUAUGAUCUAGGAUUUCGAAAUCCUCCACCUAAUUUUACAAGUUACACACAUCACUCAUUUUCCAGAAUGCCUAGAUCAAAUAUACUUAAUAACUGUGUGACCCUGGUCAAGUUACCUAACUUCUGCUUUCGUUUCCUCUUCUAUAAAAUAAGGAGAAUAGUAGUACUGACCUUCAAGGGUUGUUGUGAGGAUAAAAUGAGAUAUUUAUCAAGCACUUUAGGAACAAAUGCCAUCUAUUGUUAUUAUUAAAAUUAGGACACCAGCUAAUGAAUAUAUACAAUGAGUAUUAGGCUCUAAUGUGAAGAAGAUUUGAGCAAUGGAGAAAAUCAGAUGUAAAUCCCACCAGGUCAGAGAUUCUUCACUUAGGAUUCACAGAACUUCCCCCAAAGAAUCCAAGCAUAGAUUUCAGGUUGGCUGUGAAGUUGGCUGGGGGAAAAACAUUGCAAAUUUAUUUUCACUAGAUUCUACCUGAAAUUUGGCAUUUCCUUUCAUUAUGUAUGUAAGCAACAAACAUUAUUCUGGAACUCAAGGCAUACACAAAAAGGUCAAGAACUUCUUCAUCUCUGGCUUGAUGACUAUGGGGAAAGUCACUUAAUGCUCUAAAAUUCAGUUCCUCAUCUGUAAAAAUUUUGAAAAUAAUAAUAGCUAUGAAUCUCACAUGAUGAGAUUAUAUAUAAAGCAAUUUGCAAACUUUAAAGUACUUUUCAAGUCAAUUAUUAUUAUCAUUCCAUCCAAGAAGACUGAUGAAUAGGAAUGUGUUAACUUUGAAGCCAAUUUGGAGAAAGGCAAUUGAUCUCCAAAUUCAACUGAAGGUAGCCUCACUUCAAAAAAAAAAAGAAAAAAGAAGGGUGGGUCCAUUAGUGUUGUUUUUUUUUUCAUGAAUCUCAUGCUAGAUCACAGAAUCAGGAGUCUAGAUCUCAGAGUAACUUCAGAGAUCAUGAGAUAAUGGAGUUGGAAGGGAUUUCAGACACCAUUGUUUUCAAUCUCAUUUUUCAGAUGGGGAAACUGAGGCUGAGAAAAGGGAAGUAACUUGCUCCAAGUCACACAGAUAGUUAACUGGCAGAACUGGGAUUGGAUCCCAUGUCCUGAAGGAAGAAGUGGGAUUUUAGAACCCCAGGUCUGAUAUUCCCCAUUCAUAGCCAAAGCAAAAUUUGAGAGUUGGGUUCCAUUAGAUGAGUUGGAUUUUUUUCCCCCAAAAGCAAAACAAGCAAAUGUACCAUCCUCCUUGAGAGCUAUACUAAAGUGAAAGUUGAUUUUACUAGGAACCCCCCAAAAUCUACUUGUGUGAUGGAGCUUCCCCCUCUCCUGGAAGUUAAUUUUAAAAGAAUGCUUUCUCCAUUGUCAUGGUAACCACCUACUGCUCUGAGAGCUCCUAGAAUCUAGCUGCUCUGGAGUGUGCUUUUAUCUUACUUUCUCUGGGCUGAUGGAAAUUUUAUGACUACCUUCUGUGCGUUCUAGGCAUGACUUCUCACUGUGGAGCAGUCAAGUCUUGCCGUGGUCUUUGUGGCAGAAGUGUUUCAUGCAUGGCAGGCAGUGGGCCUAAAGCUUUGUUAUGGUGAAACUCAUUGAAAAUGUUGAUUAUUUCUCACAGCAGAGGAAGACAAGUAUUUUGAAAGAGUGAAGUAAAGAAAGAGAAUGAACCCUGAUUUCCAAAUUGCUUGAGACUGAGGAUGCUUGGGAAGUAACCAAGGAAGUUCUCCUCAAGAUGAAGUGAGAGAAAGAAAAGUAUCUUCUGAUAGCCAUUGAAUUCACCAAUGUUGGGCCAUCUUUCAUGAUCGAUUUCUGCACUCUCUUGGGGUUCUGUUAGCAAUCUAGCAGUGCCUGGAUCUUUGAAUCUGGUGGGUUUUGUCCCAAUGAUAAAAGGUCUCUGUACCUAUUGGCCAUUUCAGAGGAGUCUUCUACUAAAGUUUCAUUCUUAACCUGUAGUAGUUCCAGAGACAGAGAGAUACACUGAUUCAUUGAAGUGUCUAACUAGACAGACACUUGGAACAAUAAUUCAGUCUGGGGAGAGAAUCUGAAGCAAAUACUCCAAAAGUACAGGGUUAAAUUUAGAUCUACGUAUGCCUGGUGAUGCUGAUGGGUUAGGCUGGGCCCCUUCCACCUUCCCCAACCCUCCAACCAAGGAAAGAGGGAAUGUAGCUAGAGAUGGCUAGAAUGACUCAUAAAUAUCCAUGAUUAUCCCUUGUCUCCAAAUGAUUCUACCAAAUAUCAUAUUUAGCCUUAUCUGAGUCCUCAGGAUUGGUUUUCUUGAAAGGAUUUGGAGGUUGUCUGCCUUACACUGGUGCAUUUCAAAGAAUCCUAUCUCCUUUCAGUGACUACCUCAAUCUAAAACCCUAUAGCCUCCAAUAUCUUCACCCAUCUAAGAGUCAGUUAUGAUUGGAUAAAGCUGAUUUCCUCAGAAUCUUUCUACAAAAAGAUUAAUUUCCCUAAACCAGAAAAAGACAAGGAGCCAAAGAGUAGCAAUAAGGUAGAAUGCCUAUGGCACCUUGAACCCUUCCUGUAUGAGUAAGUAUGUCCACUAGUGGUUUAUAAGCUUCCAAUAAACCCUGGAGUUACAGCAACUUUCUGUGAGGGUUUGUUUCUCUUCUUUGAAAA